GAUUUCUGGUUAAGUAACGCUAGCCCGACCUUGCCAGGGGUGUGCGCUGGUUAGUUGCUUGCCAUCUUUCUAGAAAGCCAGCGUUUGUCAUUCACUUGGCGGACGUGACGCGAUCUAGGUCUUUUACUUUGAAAAAUUAGAAUGUUUAAAGCAGUCUUACGCUAUGAAUACAUUAGCAUGGAAUAAUAUAGGACUUUGGUUAUAUUUUGUUGGUUUCUAGGACUGAAGUAAUGAUUGAUAGGGAUAGUUGGGAGUGUUAGUAUUCAGUGGCCAGAGCUGAAAUUCUUGUAUUCACUAAAGACUAACUACUGCGAAAGCAUU
RNAcentral lists this ribosomal RNA (321 nucleotides) under uncultured Euglyphida. Its description in RNAcentral is "SSU rRNA". The stretch from base 58 to 321 matches the Rfam family "Eukaryotic small subunit ribosomal RNA", at positions 686 to 955 of the family's 1831-position model. Lineage: Eukaryota; Cercozoa; Imbricatea; Euglyphida. The record is from RNAcentral.